UUCAUUAGAGUUGGACAUGUCAAUUUCACCUUUCUCCUGCAACAAAAAUCCUGUUAGCAGCAGAUAUUAACAGCAAAAUGAACAAACAAAAUGGACUGCAGUUAACACUAAAAUGCUUUGCAACUUAUAAAAGGAGUAACUAAAAACAAAACACAUAGUUCAGUACAAUAGUAAAAAGAAUUCUUGGCAUUGCAAAAGGAGAGGCACUGGCAUUCUAUGUAAUUUAGCCACUCAUAAUUCAGAAUCCACAAACUAAUUGCCUGCAAAAUAAUAUUGAGCUACUCAAAGAAAGCAGUAUAGAACAAAACAACAGAGCAUUACUUUUAAAGGUAAAGAAAAAAGGUGACAGAGGGGAGAAUCCUCUGUGAACAUACAAAUUAAUUAGCAAAAUGGCAUAUCAUAGUUAUAUUGGCAUCCAAUAUGCUGAAGUAACCAAAACAAUUUUCUAGAAAUUAAGUAAAUGAAUUGACAUAAGGUCUACCUUCACAAAGGUGAUAGCCUGGACAACAUUUUAGCCAUCUCCAUAGAUAAGGCUCCAGUACUAAAUGUCAGCAAGUUUCCAGUCCCCGCAGUUAAAAUUUUUCUUCAAAUUUUACUUUUUCUUAUUUUUUGUGAUUUUCAUAGAAAUAAUCUGAAAAUCUUCAAUCUUACAUAAGUUAAGUGAAUGAUGAACUAUCACUUAUCAACUAAAAGGAAAACCAAUCUUUUACAUGCACAAAACAAUUAAAACCAAUUCAAAAUUUACAAAAUCUUUGCUAAAAUUUAUCACCUGGAGAAGUGCCCAUUUCCAUUAGAAUU
RNAcentral lists this unclassified non-coding RNA (798 nucleotides) under Hevea brasiliensis (rubber tree). Lineage: Eukaryota; Viridiplantae; Streptophyta; Magnoliopsida; Malpighiales; Euphorbiaceae. The record is from RNAcentral.